Molecule: long non-coding RNA, 1228 nt
Organism: Homo sapiens (human)
Lineage: Eukaryota; Metazoa; Chordata; Mammalia; Primates; Hominidae
Exons: 2
Source: RefSeq, a predicted model, not a curated record
CCUGCCUAGGACGCAAGUGCAGGGUGCCAAGCGGAGAGCCUGGAUCAUAUUUCACAUGUGCCUGUCCCAGAGGAAUUCCUUAACUCUCCCUUCCUGGAACCGAAAUGCUUCCAAAGACAGAGAGCUCCUAUAUAUAUUUCUCUGUUUUCCCCAGAGGACCGUGCAUGAAAGGCGCCUUUCCUGGCGCGUGUGUCUCUGACCCUGUGGAUCUUCUGGACAAUUCCCGGAAUUUCUUGCAGGGCAGCACUUCCCCUUAAGUCGUCUCUUUCUCGUUUGGAUAGUCAGUAUUUAUAUAGUCACUAUUCUCUUUUGGUUAGCCAUCUAAUUUUAUACUGCUAGUCAAGCUCUACUCCCUUCCCCCUAGAGUUUGAAUUUAUUUUUCUUCAAACGCUACACAAACCCAAAUAAACUCAACCAAAGCGGACUUUACCUACCUUCCUACCUACCUACCAAGAAAAUAUCCCACAAAGGAGAGAACGGAGAAGCUUGCAAUACAGGAAGAAAAAAAAAGAAUUACAGAAUGGAAGGGAUGUGUGCGCUAAAAAUGCAGGUACUUAAAGGAAAUUGGGCUGAUUUGUACUGGACACCGAAUUUGAGGAAUACAGGAUCUCAACCUUUCUUUGACUGGAUUACUUUUUUAUUCCAUUUUGGUGUGGACGCGUCUGAAACUGAUAGUGCUGCUGCUACCUACCAUAAUGUGUUUGUUGCAAGAUCCACAAGAACGUGGAUGCCAAGAAUCCACAAAAAAAAAACAGAUGCAACCGUUGAUGAGGCCAUAAGCAGAAACAAUGUGCUAGCAGAAUGUGCUAAUUCGUAAAUAUCUUCUGCCCUGAGAAGAGAGAUGACACAGCAAGAAGAAGGAUGCUAAGUCAUACUCAGUUAAGAUUCUGCUGCUAGGAGCCAAAGAGUCAUUCUUUCCUCAUUCCUGUGACCAUCUGCGAGAAACCAGAACUAUGUCUCCCUCCUGCACGAAUCACAGAGGACAUCCCCAUACAAUAGCCUGGAGUGAUUCCCGCCCCACCCCCCACCCCCAUCCCCACACCCCCACCCCCACUUUUUUAAAAAGGGAAUCCAGGAAUCGUCCUGCUUCCUGUAAGGAUCAGAAAGAAGGGGCAAAAUAGCACUGCAGGUGGAACUCUGAUCCCUUCCCAGGCUCACAGAAGCUUUUAGGUAACUGGGGCUUCUCGGGAAAUUAAAAGAAAAUUAAUAAAAUGAACCACACUUACCA